GACGAACGCUGGCGGCGUGCUUAACACAUGCAAGUCGAACGGAAAGGCCCUGCUUUUGUGGGGUGCUCGAGUGGCGAACGGGUGAGUAACACGUGAGUAACCUGCCCUUGACUUUGGGAUAACUUCAGGAAACUGGGGCUAAUACCGGAUAGGAGCUCCUGCUGCAUGGUGGGGGUUGGAAAGUUUCGGCGGUUGGGGAUGGACUCGCGGUUUAUCAGCUUGUUGGUGGGGUAGUGGCUUACCAAGGCUUUGACGGGUAGCCGGCCUGAGAGGGUGACCGGCCACAUUGGGACUGAGAUACGGCCCAGACUCCUACGGGAGGCAACAGUGGGGAAUAUUGCACAAUGGGCGGAAGCCUGAUGCAGCAACGCCGCGUGCGGGAUGACGGCCUUCGGGUGGUAAACCGCUUUCGCCUGUGACGAAGCGUGAGUGACGGUAAUGGGGAAAGAAGCACCGGCUAACUACGU
RNAcentral lists this ribosomal RNA (467 nucleotides) under uncultured bacterium. RNAcentral describes it as "partial 16S ribosomal RNA". It matches the Rfam family "Bacterial small subunit ribosomal RNA", at positions 28 to 506 of the family's 1533-position model. The record is from RNAcentral.